Long non-coding RNA from Helianthus annuus (common sunflower), 818 nucleotides. RefSeq lists it as uncharacterized. The transcript has 3 exons. The record is from RefSeq and is a predicted model, not a curated record. NCBI's taxonomy places the organism in Eukaryota, Viridiplantae, Streptophyta, Magnoliopsida, Asterales, Asteraceae.
AGUUGAUAUGUUCAGCCGCUCCCCACAUAAUUCUCUCCUGUUGAUUGUGUUGUCUGCAAAUACACUUCACUCACACAAAAAUGGAGAUCAGAGUUCCAUCAAAUCCACACACCCUCAACCGUUUAACCCAUCUUUCUCUGUCAUUUUGUCGGUCACCGGAGCCGACCCUCGGAGGCACUCAGCGGCGAGCAGCGUGAAGAAGAGACAGAGAGAGAUCAGAGCAUGGAGAAAGAGAAAGACGACGGAACUGUCGUUUUCCGGCGAACCGCAUCUGCGGUGGUCUCUCGGCGACUCAUCUCACGGUGGCUCGACUCACGACGGUGUCGCACAGCACAGGCGGCAGCAGCAGCGACGGUGACUGAUGGUGACGGUGGUGUUUCUCCGACGAGAUUCCUGGUAAACACUUCCCCUUUCUCUUCAUUUCUUACAAAAAUGAAGAUUGGUAGUGAUUUGGUGGUUGCUAUCGAUGACCAGUUCAUGUUCGGGUCCGAGAAUAUAUCGGGUCGGGUCCAGUCGUAGGUUUGGGCGGAUAAGUUCGGUUUUGUUUCAGUUAGCUCGGGUUCACGCCAAACCUUAGCAGAUUUGAAUUUGGUUUGCUUCGGCUCGUGUUCAGUUCGGGUCAGGUUCGGUCAACAGUGGUCAACAGUAGCCAACCGGUCAACUACGGGUCAGCGACUCGAUCGUUUCGGGUGACCGCGGUGUUCCAUCCUCCUAAUCUCUUACGCUCGUCAGCACGGGAUAAUCGGAAGAGUUAGCAAUUCUGUUGAUGAUGACGAUGCUAUGAAAAGAAGUAGCGUUGAUGCCUAGAUACACAUAUA